GACGAACGCUGGCGGCGUGCUUAAAAACAUGCAAGUCGAACGGACUUCUCAUGAAGCUUGCGAUUGAGAAGUUAGUGGCGGACGGGUGAGUAACGCGUGGGCAACCUGCCCCUGAGCCCGGGAUAACAGUUCGAAAGGACUGCUAAGACCGGAUAUACUUGCGGUGAAGCAUUUCACUGCAAGGAAAGGGAACGCUCAGGGAUGGGCCCGCGUCCCAUUAGCUAGUUGGUGAGGUAACGGCCCACCAAGGCGACGAUGGGUAGCCGGCCUGAGAGGGUGAACGGCCACACUGGGACUGAGACACGGUCCAGACUCCUACGGGAGGCAGCAGUGGGGAAUAUUGCACAAUGGGCGAAAGCCUGAUGCAGCGACGCCGCGUGAGGGAUGACGGCCUUCGGUUGUAAACCGUACUUUCUAGCAGGGAAGAAGACGAAAGUAGACGGUACCGUGCAGAAGAAGACACCGGCUAACUACGUG
RNAcentral lists this ribosomal RNA (477 nucleotides) under uncultured bacterium. RNAcentral describes it as "bacterial SSU rRNA". It matches the Rfam family "Bacterial small subunit ribosomal RNA", at positions 28 to 507 of the family's 1533-position model. The record is from RNAcentral.